Molecule: ribosomal RNA, 480 nt
Filed under: uncultured bacterium
Lineage: Bacteria
Description: SSU rRNA
Rfam family: Bacterial small subunit ribosomal RNA
Source: RNAcentral
AGAAUCAACGCUGGCGGCGUGCCUAACACAUGCAAGUCGAACGAGAAAGUGGAGCAAUCCAUGAGUAAAGUGGCGACCGGGUGAGUAACACGUGACUAACCUACCCUAGAGUGGGGAAUAACUUCGGGAAACCGAGGCUAAUACCGCAUAACAUCGCAGAGGGAAGCUCUUUGCGAUCAAAGGAGCAAUUCGCUCAAGGAGGGGGUCGCGGCUGAUUAGUUAGUUGGUGAGGUAACGGCUCACCAAGACAAAGAUCAGUAUCCGGCCUGAGAGGGCGCACGGACACACUGGAACUGAAACACGGUCCAGACUCCUACGGGAGGCAGCAGUGGGGAAUUUUGCGCAAUGGGGGAAACCCUGACGCAGCAACGCCGCGUGGAGGAUGAAGUCCCUUGGGAUGUAAACUCCUUUCGAUCGGGACGAUUAUGACGGUACCGGAAGAAGAAGCACCGGCUAACUCUGCGCCAGCAGCCGCGGUAA